UAACAAGGUUUCUCUCCUGCCGAGACCCUGUGGAGCUGCUCCGGCAGCGUUGCCGCGACUAUAAAUACAGGGCAUUCGCCGCAAGUCCUUCGGGGCGACACUGCACGAUUGACGGGAACGCCCAUCUCUGGCAACCCGCAGCCCCUACCCGGGGUUCACAGAUCAAGUGGCAGUGGGCCUUCGGGCUUAAGAUAUGACCGGCCCCAGCGCGCAAGCCCUGGGAUUACAGCGUCCGUAGGUGAACCUGCGGAAGGAUCAUUAAAGAAUACAAGGCUUCACCGCCCUAUUCUCACCCUCUGUAUAUCAAACUUUGUUGCUUUGGCAGGCCCCCGGCUCAGGCUGGACCGCGCCUGCCAGAGGACCUAAACUCUUGAAUCAUUGCAGUCUGAGAAACUAUACAAUAGUUAAAACUUUCAACAACGGAUCUCUUGGUUCUGGCAUCGAUGAAGAACGCAGCGAAAUGCGAUAAGUAAUGUGAAUUGCAGAAUUCAGUGAAUCAUCGAAUCUUUGAACGCACAUUGCGCCCUCUGGUAUUCCGGGGGGCAUGCCUGUUCGAGCGUCAUUACAACCCUCACGCCUGGCGUGGUAUUGGGCUCGCCCUGUAGGGCCUGCCUCAAAGUCAGUGGCGGCACCGUUUGACCCCUAAGCGUAGUAAUACUCGUCGCUUCUGGUGUCGUGCGGAGGCCUGCCAGCAACCCCCAUUUUUUAAAGGUUGACCUCGGAUCAGGUAGGGAUACCCGCUG
RNAcentral lists this unclassified non-coding RNA (743 nucleotides) under Rhytismataceae sp. STDS-2-57. RNAcentral's name for it is "partial contains small subunit rRNA gene, partial sequence, ITS1, 5.8S rRNA gene and ITS2, complete sequence, and large subunit rRNA gene, partial sequence". The stretch from base 409 to 562 matches the Rfam family "5.8S ribosomal RNA". The record is from RNAcentral. Lineage: Eukaryota; Fungi; Ascomycota; Leotiomycetes; Rhytismatales; Rhytismataceae.